RNAcentral lists this ribosomal RNA (116 nucleotides) under Biatriospora sp. RNAcentral's name for it is "partial large subunit ribosomal RNA". Lineage: Eukaryota; Fungi; Ascomycota; Dothideomycetes; Pleosporales; Biatriosporaceae. The record is from RNAcentral.
AUUUGUAGAGGGCGCUUUGGUGUUGGCUGCGGUCUAAGUUCCUUGGAACAGGACGUCACAGAGGGUGAGAAUCCCGUACGUGGUCGACAGUCUCCACCGUGUAAAGCCCCUUCGAC